Molecule: long non-coding RNA, 398 nt
Organism: Rhinichthys klamathensis goyatoka
Lineage: Eukaryota; Metazoa; Chordata; Actinopteri; Cypriniformes; Leuciscidae
Exons: 3
Source: RefSeq, a predicted model, not a curated record
CAUCUGACCAAUCAGAGCAGAGUACACCAAUCGCAACAGACUGGGCCAUCUGACCAAUCAGAGCAGAACUGACCAUCUGACCAAUCAGAGCAGAGUAGGCCAAUAACAACAGAUUGGGCCAUCUGACCAAUCAGAGCAGAGUAGACCAAUCACAACAGACUGACCAUCUGACCAAUCAGAGCAGAGUAGACCAAUCACAACAGACUGGGCCAUCUGACCAAUCAGAGCAGAGUAGGCCGAUAACAACAGACUGGGCCAUCUGACCAAUCAGAGCAGAGUAGACCAAUCACAACAGACUGGACCAUCUGACCAAUCAGAGCAGAACUGACAUUCUGACCAAUCAGAGUAGACCAAUCACAACAGACUGGGCCAUCUGACCGAUCAGAGCAGAGUAGACC